UACGAAGGGUGCAAGCGUUACUCGGAAUUACUGGGCGUAAAGCGUGCGUAGGUGGUUUGUUAAGUCUGCUGUGAAAGCCCGGGCUCAACCUGGGAAUGGCAGUGGAUACUGGCAAGCUAGAGUGCGGUAGAGGGGUGUGGAAUUCCCGGUGUAGCGGUGAAAUGCGUAGAGAUCGGGAGGAACACCAGUGGCGAAGGCGGCACCCUGGACCAGCACUGACACUGAGGCACGAAAGCGUGGGGAGCAAACAGG
RNAcentral lists this ribosomal RNA (252 nucleotides) under uncultured bacterium. RNAcentral's name for it is "partial 16S ribosomal RNA". It matches the Rfam family "Bacterial small subunit ribosomal RNA", at positions 524 to 776 of the family's 1533-position model. The record is from RNAcentral.